AUUGAACGCUGGCGGCAGGCUUAACACAUGCAAGUCGAGCGGAAACGACCUAGCUUGCUAGGGGCGUCGAGCGGCGGACGGGUGAGUAACGCGUGGGAAUUUGCCCAGUAGUGGGGGAUAGCCCGGAGAAAUCCGGAUUAAUACCGCAUAAUACCUAAGGGUUAAAGAUGGCCUCUUCUUGAAAGCUAUCGCUAUUGGAUAAGCCCGCGUCGGAUUAGCUAGUUGGUGGGGUAAAGGCCUACCAAGGCGACGAUCCGUAGCUGGUCUGAGAGGAUGAUCAGCCACACUGGGACUGAGACACGGCCCAGACUCCUACGGGAGGCAGCAGUGGGGAAUAUUGGACAAUGGGCGCAAGCCUGAUCCAGCCAUGCCGCGUGUGUGAAGAAGGCUCUAGGGUUGUAAAGCACUUUAAGUUGGGAGGAAAGGUUGAAGGUUAAUACCCUUUAACUGUGACGUUACCAACAGAAUAAGCACCGGCUAACUCCGUG
RNAcentral lists this ribosomal RNA (488 nucleotides) under uncultured bacterium. RNAcentral's name for it is "bacterial SSU rRNA". It matches the Rfam family "Bacterial small subunit ribosomal RNA", at positions 30 to 507 of the family's 1533-position model. The record is from RNAcentral.